Molecule: ribosomal RNA, 459 nt
Filed under: uncultured bacterium
Lineage: Bacteria
Description: partial 16S ribosomal RNA
Rfam family: Bacterial small subunit ribosomal RNA
Source: RNAcentral
CCUACGGGGGGCAGCAGUGAGGAAUAUUGGUCAAUGGGCGGGAGCCUGAACCAGCCAAGCCGCGUGAAGGAAGAAGGCGCCAAGCGUCGUAAACUUCUUUUGUCGGGGAACAAAGGGCGCCACGUGUGGCGUUGUGAGUGUACCCGAAGAAAAAGCAUCGGCUAACUCCGUGCCAGCAGCCGCGGUAAUACGGAGGAUGCGAGCGUUAUCCGGAUUUAUUGGGUUUAAAGGGUGCGUAGGCGGUCCGGAAAGUCAGCGGUAAAAGCCCGGGGCUCAACCCCGGCGAGCCGUUGAAACUGUCGGACUAGAGACGGCGAGAAGUACGCGGAAUGCGCGGUGUAGCGGUGAAAUGCAUAGAUAUCACACAGAACACCGAUUGCGAAGGCAGCUUUCCAAGCUAUUACUGACGCUGAGGCACGAAAGCGUGGGGAGCGAACAGGAUUAGAUACCCCAGUAGUC